Actinia tenebrosa (Australian red waratah sea anemone) is the source of this 437-nucleotide long non-coding RNA. RefSeq lists it as uncharacterized. The record is from RefSeq and is a predicted model, not a curated record. NCBI's taxonomy places the organism in Eukaryota, Metazoa, Cnidaria, Anthozoa, Actiniaria, Actiniidae.
UUUCUUUCUUGUUUUGAAGGGAACCAAGUGCGGCAUAGCAGUUGUGCACUCUCUUUGACACUUUUGGCCAGGCAUUAUCUGUUGGCCAGUCCUUAUUUUUAUAGUCUUGUGGCAGAAUAAGUUUGAGGAAUGAAUCCACAGAAGUUAGGAAUGAAUUCAUGUUGAAUUCAGAAUUGAAUACAACAACAUCUGCAACUAAACUGAAGCAGGUCAACAGAGUCGAACUGAAAGCAAUGGGAAGGUGCCUCUGGCAGCCACUACACACUCCAUGUAUGACCCUGGAGCAGAGCUCCAAUCAGUUUGAAUUAGUUACYGACAGUUUGAAAAAAGGAAGAAAAAACUGGAGCCAGAAAAGCUCUCAGGGUUGAAACACAACCAACUCAGCUCACAUGGGACACCUGGGUAUUGAACCCUGCAGGACAGGACCUAGAGGUGAG